Long non-coding RNA from Grus americana (Whooping crane), 282 nucleotides. RefSeq lists it as uncharacterized. The record is from RefSeq and is a predicted model, not a curated record. The transcript is spliced from 3 exons. Lineage: Eukaryota; Metazoa; Chordata; Aves; Gruiformes; Gruidae.
GAAAAAAUUCAGCAAAUUGGAAAUUAUCUUCAUCGUCCUCUUCUGUUUGGUGGUGGCCGUGGCCUGUGUCCUCAUCGGGAUUUUAGCGACGCGAGAAACCGUAACUGAGAGCAGCCAAUUUUCCCCAAACUGCCCGAGCGUGACGAUAGCUGAGCGGAUCGACUGCAUCCCGGACCAAGUCGCCACCAAGAACCUCUGCGCCCUCCGCGGGUGCUGCUGGAGCCCCCAGGGUGACACCCAGGUGCCCUGGUGCUUCUUCUCCUCCCAGCACGGGUACAGAGU